Molecule: ribosomal RNA, 495 nt
Filed under: uncultured bacterium
Lineage: Bacteria
Description: partial 16S ribosomal RNA
Rfam family: Bacterial small subunit ribosomal RNA
Source: RNAcentral
GACGAACGCUGGCGGCGUGCCUAAUACAUGCAAGUAGAACGCUGAAGGAGGAGCUUGCUUCUCUGGAUGAGUUGCGAACGGGUGAGUAACGCGUAGGUAACCUGCCUGGUAGCGGGGGAUAACUAUUGGAAACGAUAGCUAAUACCGCAUAAUAGUAGAUGUUGCAUGACAUUUGCUUAAAAGGUGCAAUUGCAUCACUACCAGAUGGACCUGCGUUGUAUUAGCUAGUUGGUGAGGUAACGGCUCACCAAGGCAACGAUACAUAGCCGACCUGAGAGGGUGAUCGGCCACACUGGGACUGAGACACUGCCCAGACUCCUACGGGAGGCAGCAGUAGGGAAUCUUCGGCAAUGGACGGAAGUCUGACCGAGCAACGCCGCGUGAGUGAAGAAGGUUUUCGGAUCGUAAAGCUCUGUUGUAAGAGAAGAACGAGUGUGAGAGUGGAAAGUUCACACUGUGACGGUAUCUUACCAGAAAGGGACGGCUAACUACGUG